Mus musculus (house mouse) is the source of this 2363-nucleotide long non-coding RNA. RefSeq annotates it as predicted gene, 39482. NCBI's taxonomy places the organism in Eukaryota, Metazoa, Chordata, Mammalia, Rodentia, Muridae. The record is from RefSeq and is a predicted model, not a curated record. The transcript is spliced from 2 exons.
AUAGACCACACUUGCCUUGAACUCACAGAGCUCUGCCUGCCUCUACUUCUUGAGUGCUGGGAUGAAAAGGGUGUGGUAUCAUGCUGGAUCAUAAUUUACUUUUUAAAAUUAUAUAUUUAAGAUUUGUGGUAAUCUCUAUAUGGUAACACAUGCCUGCAAUCCCAGCUACUUAGUAGGUGGUGGCAGGAGAAUCUUUUAUUUUUCUUUAUUAUUUUUCUUUAUUUUAUGUGUAUGUGUGUGUGUCCCUAAGUGUUUGUAUAUGUAUGUUCAGUGCCCACAGAGGCCAGAGUAGGAUAUUGGAUCCCUCCUGCUGAAGCUAUAGGAAGUGUUGAGUCAAUUGAGGGUGUUUAGCCUUGGUUAACAGCUGGAAGAAGAGGAAGUGUUCUUAACCACUGAGCCAUCCCUUCAGACCCCCCCCCUUGGGGGAGGGGAGGAUCUUAAAUUACUCCUCUUCCCAGACAGGAUUUCUUCCCCCCCUCUCCAAACAGGGUUUCUCUGUGUAGCCCUGUGCAGUCCUGGAACGGGAGCUGUAGAUUUGUACAUCCAUAAACCAGGCUGGCCUAGAACUCAGAGAUCUGCCUGUCUCUACCUCCUGAGUGCUGAGAUUAAAGGUGUGCACCACCACUGCCCCCAAAAGGAUCUUCAAUUCAAGCCCAGUUUGGGAAAUUAAGCAAAACUUGUUAUAAAAAUAAAAAGAAUACAAAUAUACUAGUACACACAUGAACAAAUAGACUGGGGACAUAGCUCAGCGGCAGGGCCUCGUUAGUGUGUAGGAGGCCCUGCACUCUAUCCCAGCAGUGGGGGAAAAGCAUGAUAAGGUAAAUAGCACAAGGCUUAUCAUCUUUGUCUUUUAAUGCUUAGUUUAGCUAUGUUAAGCCAUGCACAUUGUUAGGCAGGCCACUCCAUGCACUUGUAGAAUCUUCCAUUUUCCCACACUGAAACCUGUUUUCAUUCAAUACUCAAAGCUCACACACACACACACACACACACACACACACACACACACACACACACACACACAUGUUCUUUAUGCACUCUGUGACUUGACUCUUUUCAAAAGAUUUAUUUUAUUUUAUGUGUGCUGUGCCUGCAUGUGGUGUAUAUCUUGGUAUCUUUGGAGGUAGGAAGAAGGAAACGGAUCCCCUGGAAGUGGAGUUGUAGGUGAUUGUAAGCUGCUAUGUAGGUGCUGGGAUACCCACCAGUGUCUUCUGCAGGAGCAACAAGUGCCAUCUCUCCAUCAAUUACGGAGCGGCCGUGGUCCAGCCCUACUCCUGACCUGUUGUAAGGCCUCCUGCAGACAGGAUCUCACUGUGUCACUCUGUCUGUCCUGGAACCCUGUAUGGACCAGAUUGGACUCCACUCUCAGAGAUCCACCUGCCUCCACCUCCUGAAUUCUGGGAGUCAAGGCAUAUGCCACUAGGUCAGCUUGAAGAUAUCAUUUUUAAUACUGUUUCGUGGAGGCUGAUAUACUGGGACUCCGUGAAGGUCAGAAUACAACCCUGGUUCUGGCUAUGGAAGGACAUCUCUGGAGAGGUGUGGAGAACUGGGACCCCUGUCUGGAACAUGGGCAUCUUCUGGCCAUUUCCCUUCCUUGCAGAACUCUCUGAUGCUAUGACUACAGGGGCUGUGGAAGCAGCAGACACAGGGGCUGUGGAAGCAGCAGUCACGGAGGCUGUGGAAACAGCAGACACAGGGGCUGUGGAAGCAGCAGACACAGGGGCUGUGGAAGCAGCAGACGGGGCCAGAACAGAAGCCCCAAGCCUGCUGCUCUCCUCCUCUCCACAGAAGCAGGUCUGGCAGUACCAAUCUCUCCCGGAUGUCUGUCUGGCCUAUGUCAGUGAGCUGACUGCCCUGUGAUUUGACAGUAAUGAUUAUAAUGGGGGUGAUUCUGUAUUCUUUGACUUGUUUGAAUGGGAAGGUUUAGAAUGGGCCUCCCACCCCCACCUCCUUGCCUGAAGCUGGUGUAAUCUUCUAUUGGAGAGAAUGGAGUCGCCUCGCAAAAGGAGUGCCAUAGAGACAAGAUACUUAGAAUUUUCAACCUGCCGGUGAUGGCUGAAUUUUAUUUUUUUUCACCCUGGGGACCAAGAAUUAGUACUAUAAAAGCCAAGGAAUGUUGUAAAGAGCCACAGAAAUCUUCUGUAGGAGCUGGUGUGGGGGAGCACUCUUUCUUGGAAUUCUAAAGACAGCCGCAGCUGUUAAGUACACAGAGACAGGCUGAGGAUUCUCUCACACACUGGGCUAUAGUGGCUUUCUUCUUCUUGUUUUCCUACCAAAGGUACGUUCCCGUUUGUGCCUGCCUUCUGCCUUUUUUCCCCAAAUAGAUCUUGACAGUCAGACACAGAUUCUAUGCUGUGUGGAGUUGA